GAUGAACGCUAGCGGCAGGCUUAACACAUGCAAGUCGAGGGGUAUAGUAGCAAUACUAGAGACCGGCGCACGGGUGCGUAACGCGUAUGCAACCUACCUUUUACAGAGGGAUAGCCCAGAGAAAUUUGGAUUAAUACCUCAUAGUGUUAUUAGAUGGCAUCAUUUGAUAACUAAAGUUCCAACGGUAAAGAUGGGCAUGCGUCCUAUUAGCUAGAUGGUAAGGUAACGGCUUACCAUGGCUACGAUAGGUAGGGGUCCUGAGAGGGAGAUCCCCCACACUGGUACUGAGACACGGACCAGACUCCUACGGGAGGCAGCAGUGAGGAAUAUUGGACAAUGGGCGCAAGCCUGAUCCAGCAAUGCCGCGUGCCAGGAUGAAGGCC
RNAcentral lists this ribosomal RNA (383 nucleotides) under uncultured bacterium. Its description in RNAcentral is "bacterial SSU rRNA". It matches the Rfam family "Bacterial small subunit ribosomal RNA", at positions 28 to 416 of the family's 1533-position model. The record is from RNAcentral.